CUGCUGCCUCCCGUAGGAGUUUGGACCGUGUCUCAGUUCCAAUGUGGGGGACCUUCCUCUCAGAACCCCUAUCCAUCGAUGCCUUGGUGGGCCGUUACCCCGCCAACAAGCUAAUGGAACGCAUCCCCAUCGAUGACCGAAAUUCUUUAAUAGUUCUACCAUGCGGAAGAACUAUGCCAUCGGGUAUUAAUCUUUCUUUCGAAAGGCUAUCCCCGAGUCAUCGGCAGGUUGGAUACGUGUUACUCACCGUGCGCCGGUCGCCA
RNAcentral lists this ribosomal RNA (263 nucleotides) under uncultured bacterium. Its description in RNAcentral is "partial 16S ribosomal RNA". The record is from RNAcentral.